Molecule: small nucleolar RNA, 67 nt
Organism: Oncorhynchus kisutch (coho salmon)
Lineage: Eukaryota; Metazoa; Chordata; Actinopteri; Salmoniformes; Salmonidae
Source: Ensembl
GGCAGUGAUGAAAGCUUGAAUAGGAAGAGUUUGAUGCAACAACUGAUGAUUUCAACUACUUCUGAUC